This 63-nucleotide transfer RNA is filed under the name Acanthacorydalis sinensis. RNAcentral's name for it is "tRNA-Tyr". Lineage: Eukaryota; Metazoa; Arthropoda; Insecta; Megaloptera; Corydalidae. The record is from RNAcentral.
GGUAAAAUGGCUGAUAAUAGGCGAUAGAUUGUAAAUUUAUUAAUGAGAACUUUCUCUUUUACU